GGCCGUUUAACGGUCGUCGCGCGAGGCGGCCCCGGCCGGUAGCGGCUGCGGUUGCUCCCUGAGGCGGGGCGGGGCUUGGCGGAACGCGGCUAGCGGGACGGAGUCAGCAGACAUUGGGAAAUGUGAGGCAAAAGGAAUGUGAGUGGAUGCAGCUUCAGUUGGUUCUGAUGAUUCUGAUUCAAAGUGUUCAAAACUCUUUGGAAAGUGUUGCAGGAGUCACAGCAUUACUUUCUUCAAACUGAACCUCUGCAAACUCUUCAGGCAUGUCAGCAGGGAGGAUCAUCAAAGGAAAGUUGCAACUCUUCUUAACCAUUCAGAAUUUCUUUUUGUUGGAACUGAAAAGACACAAGUGAUGUCCCAGCAUCAAAACCAGGGAUCAGAACUGAGCAGGAUGGAAGACAUAUUGAAUACAAGCAUAUGGUUUCAUGUGCUUCUGGAGAAG
RNAcentral lists this long non-coding RNA (442 nucleotides) under Gallus gallus (chicken). Its description in RNAcentral is "lncRNA (ENSGALG00010007232.1)". Lineage: Eukaryota; Metazoa; Chordata; Aves; Galliformes; Phasianidae. The record is from RNAcentral.